RNAcentral lists this ribosomal RNA (253 nucleotides) under uncultured bacterium. Its description in RNAcentral is "partial 16S ribosomal RNA". It matches the Rfam family "Bacterial small subunit ribosomal RNA", at positions 524 to 776 of the family's 1533-position model. The record is from RNAcentral.
UACGUAGGUGGCAAGCGUUGUCCGGAAUUAUUGGGCGUAAAGCGCGCGCAGGCGGUCCUUUAAGUCUGAUGUGAAAGCCCACAGCUCAACCGUGGAGGGUCAUUGGAAACUGGAGGACUUGAGUACAGAAGAGGAAAGCGGAAUUCCACGUGUAGCGGUGAAAUGCGUAGAGAUGUGGAGGAACACCAGUGGCGAAGGCGGCUUUCUGGUCUGUAACUGACGCUGAGGCGCGAAAGCGUGGGGAGCAAACAGG